CAGAAAGCAAAACUGCGGAUGGGGAACCAGUGUGACUGAUAUGACUGUGCCUCAUUUUCAGAGCUGUCCGUACGGCAUCAAUGUUCUAUCCAUCAAGUCAUCUGGUUCAUGCGUCUCAUCUGUGUGGUGGCUGUGAAGGACGCCCCUGGAACCUUCCCACCUGCCCCAGAAUAUGCUGGACAUGGUCAGCACCUGGCUCCUGUCAACCUUCCAUCUCCAUCACCGGCCUCUGGAGAUUCCCUACUCCCAUGUGGUGUUGGAACUCUGUUUUUGAUCCAUGCAUCCUUCUUUUGGAGAACUACACCCUUCAGAACUUACCAAGGAAAGAUUCUUUGGGGGCGAAGGACACGGCGACAUUACAGAGAGCUCUCUCGAAACGGCUCCCACGAGAAAACAGCGAUGUCCAACUCACCAUGGUACAAUAGCUCGCCUUAGCCACAACUCCACUUGCUCUUCUGGGACUCAGGAAGGCCUUAAAAUGUGCAAAAAGAUGAUGACAGAGUAAGCACGGAAGUCUACCAGUCACAGGCGCCUAGUACGUUUAGUGCUCACACUCCAUUCUGCCUUGUCAUUUGAGAGACUUUGGAGGCUGCAUUGUAAGAAACGGUUGGCUGUGGAAAUACAUUCCUGUCCAUUCCCCUUACUACUUUUGCGAUUAAUUCCCUAUGUUGCAUUUUUCUCAUGAAUAAAGCAGAAAUUAUAACUAUUGAA
Homo sapiens (human) is the source of this 711-nucleotide long non-coding RNA. RefSeq lists it as uncharacterized. NCBI's taxonomy places the organism in Eukaryota, Metazoa, Chordata, Mammalia, Primates, Hominidae. The record is from RefSeq and is a predicted model, not a curated record. The transcript is spliced from 3 exons.